RNA transcript from Nomascus leucogenys (northern white-cheeked gibbon), 7219 nucleotides. RefSeq lists it as uncharacterized. The transcript is spliced from 3 exons. The record is from RefSeq and is a predicted model, not a curated record. NCBI's taxonomy places the organism in Eukaryota, Metazoa, Chordata, Mammalia, Primates, Hylobatidae.
UAUAUAGUAGCUGUUAACACAAUACAUCUGAGAUAAUAGUAUUGUUAUUGCUGGCAGCAGAGAGUGGUAGUUACUAAGUAUAUUUUUUCUGGACGUGCAGUCCUGACUUUGAACCCCUUUUGGUUUGAGGCAGAACUACUGCUAUUGGCAUUUCUAGCACUAAGUCUACAUGAUAUUUUAAAGAAUUUGUUGAGAGCUCUUAAAUUAUUACUAUUAUUAUCAAGAAAUAGAUUUGUUAUGUCUGUUUUUGUGAUUUAUUAACUGAAAUUCUGUAAUCCUUGCCUUAAGCUUACAAGCAUUCUUCUUAGUUUGAUUUUUAAAAUACCCUCAGAAACCAUUAAUGUUCACGAGAAGUAAGAAAUCUUUGCAAUAAUAUUUCGUUGUAUCAUCAUAUUUUUUCUUUCCUGAAAAACCAAUGAAGAAUGGCAGUUUUAUAUGUAAAACAGUAGUUAGCCUUUAUAUGGAUGACAUUUUCCUAAAAGCCUAGAAAAAUUUCACAUUUGCAGAAAAAUACUCUGUUCCCAUAUUAAAUCUGAUUAAAAUUCAAAUCUAUAUUAACAUCUCAUUACUUUUUGAAAAAAGUGAAUGCCACACUUAAUGGAAAAUGCUCACUGUCUGUCUCACUGCUUUUGUGGGAUUCUUAGCAAGGCUGUCCUGGGAUCCGGGAGGGCUGGACCACAGCUACAUCCUUGUUAAAACAGUCACCCGGCGUGAAUGUUGGCCUUUAGUUUUUCCUUCCUUUCCCCUCUCCCAUCCCUACAUUGUUUCAGCUGCCAGCUCCCUAAUAUUUUUCUCUGAAGCAAGGGAAAGGGAAGGGCAAAAAUGACUUAGAAAGAAUAACAUUUCUUUCUAUGGACUUAAAUAGAACAUUCAACACAAAACAUCCUGUGUUUUCUUUUAGUUGAUGACACACUGACUGUAGGAAUGAAUGAACUAAAAACCAGGGCUUGAUUUUCAAAUGGGGGUUAUUUUAGUUGCAUACUACCUGAUCAAGGGAAAGUUGUUCAACUAUUUUAAAUUAUAACCUGUUCGUUUCUCCUCUAUACUCCGGAUCUCCUUAUCUUGCUGUGCGUUUCUUUUCUCCAUUUUACAUAUCACCUUCUAACAUGUGUUUAUUAUGUUUUUUGUUUAUUUUCCCACUCUCCUGGCCAUGAUGGAAGUCCAUGAGAGCAAGCAUCUUCGUCCAUUUUGCUCACUGUUGGAUUCCCUGUUUUAAAAAUAUCACCUGGCCCAGCAAAAAUUUUGGAAACCUUCAUCUAGAAAGUGGUCUAGCAAAGUGUGGCCCAUGGAUGAGUUUGAUCUGCAAACUGCUUGUUAUUGGUUCAUGACCAGAAUUGGUUCCAAACAGUAAAGCCUGCCAGAAAAAACAGACAAACUCUCAAGAACAACAAUGCCCAUUAUGUGUGGAGUGGAAGCUGCCAGACUUUGAUUACUGGCCAGACAUUAACCCCUUUGGUGUCUUAGAGGGGAAAAUGCCAAGUCUGAAUCCAGACAUUUCCAGGAUUUUACAGUCAUUCAUGGUGUGAGACCAGGCGAUUUAUAAUGACUUGUGCAAAAGAAAAGACUACUGGGAGAAGGAAGUGCAAGUCAAAGGCCACGUCUACUUGCUUCCUGAAUUCUGCCAUGACUAAUUCCAGCAAGCGGACAUAGACCUGAUCACCUCUGCUUUUCCCUUUGCUAGCCUGCCUGGUCAUGGAUGAGAAGCACGCUGCUCUUGCUACCUUCGUGUGGUGGUUUGGGUCCUGAAACAUCCACCUAUUUUCAGAACAAACUAAAAUAAUUUCUUAAUUUCUUGAGGUCACAUUUGCAUUAUUUGUAAAAUUAAAACAAUGUUACCUAACCUAUGGCUAUAGUGGGAGAGUAGAGAGGGAUUGACACAUAGAAGUUGGUCAGUAAAUGUUAGCUAUCAUCGUCAUCGUUAUCAUCAUCAACAUCAUCAUCCAAGGGUUGGAUGAGGUUUUUGUGUUUUUGUCCAGGUGUCAGAAGGAGGCUGGCAAAUUUGGCACUCACAGAGGGAAACCUAUGUGCUUCGUGAGAUCAUUGCUUACAGUACAACUGCUACCAAGAACAUUCCCUGCAAACUCUUUUGUGAUCAGUUUCUUCCCUUCUCUCAUAUACCCUCUGCAGGUCUACUAAUUGCAUUUUGAGAGCUCAGAUAAGCAGAGAGCAAUGCAAUUGUCACGGAAGGAUGAUUAUGUAUAUGCACUGUCAUGUGUAUGUAUGUGUAUGUAUAUACAGUAUGUGUAUAUAUGCAUAUGUAUAUACAGUAUGUGUAUUUCAUUUGUUCUUUUAUCUUAUACUUCAAUAUGUAUUUAUUGACAAUUUAUUAUGAGAGGCUGAGAAUACCAAGUUAAUUAUAAUUAAUUAUAAUAAUAGCUACCAUUUAUCAAGAACAUAUUGCAUAUCAACAUUAUGCUAAAUAUUUCAUAUACAUAUACCUUAAUGCAUUUAGUCACUUAAAAAACUUUAUGAAAUAGCCCCAUUUUAUACAUUAGUAAACCGAGUUCCGGAAAACUCAAGGGCAUGCAGCUAGUUAAUGUCAGAGCUAGGAUUCACAUUCAGAUCUCUUCGAUGCAAAACCCAUACCGUUAAUCACUUUGUUAAAUUGCCUUCCCAAAGAUGAAUAACAUGAUACAAAGGCAUUUACCUGCUUUCUUGGAAUUCACAAUCUGGUUGGCAAGAUAGGCAUAUGAUGCAGAACAUAAAAGGCUAUAUACAGCUAUGUACAAAAUACCAUGCUUAACUCAUUCUCUUGCGGGGUGGGAGAAGGUGGGAGAGGCUAGAGGAAGGCCUCAUAGGGCAAGUAGUGCUUGAGCUAUGCCUCUGGGGUGUGGGAUAUUCACGCAGCAGAGAGAGAAAAGGUGGAGGCUGGAGAGGAGAGAGAGAGCGAGAAAGGGAGAGAGAGGGGGAAGGAGGGAGAGAGAGAUUUCAGCUGGGUGUGACUUUGUUUUGUAGGAUGAGACGUAGACUUGUUCAGGUGCAAAGAGACAUCUGGAACUAGUUAGUGGGAAGUUCUUCAAGGCUGUUUCUCCACUGACCAAGCCCAUAUAUUUUUCCUCUUUGUUCCCCUUUAGCUAUUUCCAUCCCUAACUCAAAGGAGACACAGGAAGAAAGUGAGCUCAGCCUGGGUAAAUUGGAGGUUGUGAUGACUUCUAGGAAGCCUCAGGAAAGAGAAACAGACAACACUGGCCUGCUGCUCUCUGCAAUGGUGGGACCCUUGUGGGAUAACUGUUUUAGGAAUGAAGGUGUCUACCCUCUCUAGAAAUGAAAAUGCAAGUUUGGCUGUGGUUAAGUAUUGGAUGGAGGCAAAAAGAAACUGACAUAUUUGCUUCUUUUCAAUUGUUUGAUUCACCCUGAAGGGCAUGGCUGCCUAAUUUUUUUCUCCAGAGAUAGGUGGACAGAUAAAGACAGGAAAGUAACAUCCACAGACUGCCCUCUGUGAAGGUGACAGUGAUGAAGGGAAUGGUUGAUCUGAACACUGGUAAAUAAAGUGACCGCAUAUUUCCCUAGCCAGGAGAGCAAUCUGGCUCAAAAGAAACGAGAACAAUGACAUUACUGCCAGGCUGCUCCUAAGCCUUUGGCUAUUCUGUUCAGUACACAUAAAAAGCAGUGAACAUAACUGUGACCUGCCUUGUUGGCAACCACAGUAUCACAAUUCUUUGGGGCUCCACUUUGAGAAAUUGAGACCUACCUACCUUAACCCUGGGGGGGUUAAGCUUUCAGACUGGAAUGAUAACUGAACUAUUCCUUUGCAGUAAUUCUGGGCUUUGUGCGUAUUUUAAAAAGGAAUACCAGGCUUGCCUAUAUUCAUUACAAAGUCCUCCCAGCUUUCAAAUCUUCCAAUACAACGCCUCUUCUCUAGUGCUUUAAGCACAUCCUGUGACUGGAUAUGAUUAUGGGAGAUUUACAUGCAUCCUUGUCUAUUGUAUCAAAAGAUCAGGGAAUAAAAUGCCCAUCAUUAAAAGCCCAAAGUGAUUGGAUUGGCAUGAGGAAUGGGGAUGGGGCUGGCAUGGAAGAGAGGGUUCUGACUCUGAGAUUUCAUGAAAUGCAAAACAAUAGGACAGCUGCUCUUCCAUAAACAGAUUAUUAUUAUUAUUUCUACCUAGACAGCUUGAUAGCAGCCAUUAUCUUCUUUCUGGGUGUCUUAUCAAGUUCCGGCUGUGUGCAGCAUGGGUGAUAAGGAAUGAGAAAUGUCACCCAUGGGAUUGCCAAGGAUUAUUUCUAUGCACUGCUGUUCAGCAACAGCCAAUCUCUCAGAACUGAGAAGUAGUCCUAUUGUUCACGCUGGGCAGUUGCUAUUCUGACUAUCCCAAGAGAGUAGAAAAGGGAUGUAGUUGCCAUUGUGCAAAAGAUUGAUAUUUCAUUACUCUCAGCUAAAGUUCAAGCAGUCUUGAUUUUGAAAAGCAGAAUCAUCAUGAAAUAUCUUUGAAGAGAGAGAAGACAAGGGAAGAAAAGAAGAAUGAAAUGAGUUCAGAGCUUUUUAGAACUGUGAGGGAGUGCGAAAAAAGAAAGGUGUAAUACUUUCAAACAGUGGAAGUUAAAAUGCCAGGCAUCUAAGCCUCAGUGAAAUUGAGCAGCAUCACAUCACCAUGACUCGUGGUCCAGCUGUUUAUUGCAAAGACUCCAUCCUGCAUUACUCAUCAGAAAAUAGUUAACUUUGUAUCUGGCAUUAUUUUAAUUUUAAAAAAAGUUAACUUACUAGAUUUCUGUUUGUCUGUGUUUCAUACAAGCUUCUUGAAUGAAAAUAAUCUGUUGAUAUUUAACAUUUUUCCUUUCCUUCUCAAUGAGAAAAUAAAUGUUUUAUUAUACAUGCAGAUGUGCCAGCUAAAUAUUUCAGGAAAAAAAAAUCUGUUCGUCGUUUUGUUCCAGUAUCUCAGCUUUCCAAACCUGUAUCUUCCCAGAGAAAAGACUGCAUUAGAAAAAAAUUAAAACUAAAGUGUAUGACUAACCCGUAGUGUAUUCAUAGAGAAUUCCCCCCAAAGUGUUCUGAGUGCUUUAGUCUUCUUUAUACAUGGUUUUAGGGUCAUGCUGAUAUUAUAAUCUAAGCUGCUUGGAAGUGAGCCAAGUCAAAUUUUUCCAACAUUUUAAAUCACUAUUCUGAAACUGGAAUUUCAAAUGAAUAAAAUGCUUUGCUCUUAAACCAACGACUUCAGAAAUGAGAUCCUACUCAGGAAUUAUUACAAUGGGAAGUGAGAGGAGGUUGGGAAGGUAAAGGGCAAAAGGAGGGCAUGGAGGGAGAAAGGAGGAUGCAGGAAAAGAGGAAGGAGCUUUGACUCCCCUGUGAUGCAUGAGCUCCAGGAGGGCAAGAGCCUUCCCUUUAUGUUUGUACAACACCUCCUACAGAGUAAGCACUCAGGGGAUAUUUGUUAAAUGAAUUAGUGAGAGGGGCAUAGAAAAAAAGCUUUUGGUAUUAAGAUAUGCAAAGGAAUAUUCCCGUAACAAAAUACAUUAUUUUAGUUUUUCAGCCCUUAAGCAUUUACUGGGAAACGUAGAGAUUCUCCAACUUUAAUACACAUAUUAAUUACCUGAGAGCCUUGUAAAAAAAUCCAGAUUCUGAUUUAGUAGGCCUGGGAUAGGCUGAGAGAUUCUGCAUUUCUGUGAAGCUCCCAAGGGAUGCAGAUGCUACUGGCUCAUGGAAUACGCUCUGAAUAACAAUGUGUUAGAGUAGUGCAUGGGGUACUGGGCUGGGGGUCAUGAGCUCUGAGUUCUAAUCUCUGACAUGAACCACAUGUGCUUUUAAGCCAGGUGAUUAGCUUUCCUAGUCUCAGUCUCCCCAUGUAGCUAAUGACUGGUUGGAUCUACAAAAUUUCUAGAGUUCUUACAGCCUUAAUAUUUUGAAAGUUAAAAAGAAAAGAAAGGACUUAGAGAAUGCCCAGUUUAACUCUGUGUCUUGAAAUCCUGGGGAGGCAAAAUCAAAAUCACUUCCUUCCAAAGUUGCACAGGGGAUUUGUCCUGUGUGAAUUGUGCUACAGCUGAUUCCCUGGUUUCUAGUACAGUAAUUUUUCCACUCCCAUUUCUUUUGUCAUUGUUAUUUCUUGUGGAAUACUUAGAAUUUGUCUGAUGCUAUGCUAGGUGCUGGGAAUACGAAGAUGCAUUAGAAAUACAUUAUUAUAAUUUAUUAUCCAAUUCCUUGCUUGAGUAACAUGCUGAAGAUGACAACUAAUCCCUGCAAAUGUGUAGCAUGUGUGCUGAUAUUAGGGUUCCCCCUUCCAUGAUAUAAUAAUGGCUACAGUAGAAUGUUUGCAACAGUGACCGAAUUCUCCAAUUCUCCCCAUAUCCAUCCAUUCCCUUUUCUAUGUGAUUUUGCAGCUUAUCAUAUCAAAAAGUGGAAUUUCUUUCCCCAGCCCUUGACUCUGGAAUGGUCUGUGAUUUGCUUUUACCAAGAGAAUGCAGUGGAAGGAACGACAUGCCAGCUCUACACCCCGGUCUGAAGAGGCCAUACCCACUUUUGUUACUUCUCUCAGGAUCCUGCUGCUGCCAUAAGAACAAGCCUGGGGUAGCCUCCUGGAGGAUGAACGUUCACAAGUGACCUACCAUCCCAGAGGAGGCCAACUUAGAGCAGCCUACACCCAGCCAUCUACAAAUAUGUGCGGAAGUCCAACCAAGAGCAACAGAGCUGCUUACUCAACCCACAGCUGACCACCGAUGCACAAGUGAGCUCAGAUGAGGCCAGAACUGCUCAGCUGAGCCAUAAGCUUGUGAGCAAUAAUAAACUUUUGAAGCCACUUAGUUUUGGGAGGCUUUGUUUUGCAGCAUGGCUAAGUGGUAUGAUGGCCUUCUGGAUGCAAAGCUUUAUCUGAAAUAAAUGGUUCUAGUUUGAGUUCUCCCUGGAAGAUAGUAGGUGAGAUGUCGUGGGACUGGCACAGGCUUUGCUGCUUCUUCCAUAUUUCUGAGAUGCUUUUCACUUAAAAAGGAGGGGAGCUAGCUCAUGCUAUUUUUACUUUACUGAUAAAAGAAAGAUAUGGCCAGUGAAGUUAAGUUUAGAGAUUAAAGCUCAAGGUAACACACAUGUAUAUCCCUUUUUUUAAAAGAAGCAUAAAAGAGCCAUGAUCUGAGAUCACAAAAGAAAAUGAAUGCUUUAGUCUUGGCUUUGCCAUGUAUGUUAUCUUGAGCUUCAGAGUUAUUCUUGGUAAACAAAUGUAACUAUGGCUGCCUGCCUGCCUUCCUUCAAAGGUGGUAUAAGAGUGAACACAUAUAAUAAAUAUAAAAAUGUCCUGUA